This 1811-nucleotide long non-coding RNA is filed under the name Anolis carolinensis (green anole). RNAcentral describes it as "lncRNA (ENSACAG00000040369.1)". Lineage: Eukaryota; Metazoa; Chordata; Lepidosauria; Squamata; Anolidae. The record is from RNAcentral.
GGGAAGGCUUACUCUCCUAAACAUUAGGUUAGGUUUCCUAGACGGAACUCUAGACUCACUGGAACCACAGGUUAAAGUCCUGGCAGGCUGUUCUGCCAAGUGUCAUACUUUUCACUUGACGCUCAUUUGCUCCCUAGUAUUUCUCCCUCUUGCUGUUCUCUGAAAUGUCACACAUUUAGCUGCUCUUUGUCAAGAGGGGAUGCUUAAGCCCAGAUUCUUCCACUCCUCUAAGUAUAUGUGUGCGUGGCUGUGCAGUCAGAUGUGUGUUAAGCUGCUUCUGAAGGCACAGGGACAUUUAACACAACACAGUUGAAGCAUUACGUUUUCUUGGAGUCACUGAUUUGGAAUACUAAAUGUCCAUCCCUAAACUACCGACCCCCUAGUUUCUAUAGGAUGCAGCCAUGGCAGUGAAAGUGGAAUCAUAGUGCUAUACAAACAUACCUGUAUUAACAAAGUCUUUGAAAAAAUUCUUUUCACAAAGUUUUUUAAACACCUGUCCAGCUCUCUUUUCCUCCAUGUUUCCUAUUUAACUAGAAUUUUUUAAACAAUACUGAUAUUGGGAUGAUGGUGAAGGAAGGCUAGAGAAACACCAAUUGUCAGUGUUGAGUUGCAGAAGUAUGUUUGUAGUAAGCAAUGCAAUAAAUCUUGAGUGACUGAGGGAGCUGGAUAUGUUUAGUCUGGAGAAUAGAAAGUUGAGAGGGGACAUGAUACUCAUGUUUAACAAUGUGAAAGGAUGUAAUAUUGAGGCGGGUGCAAGGUCAUCUACUAAUUUGUGGUUGAUGUAAAAUCUGAAAUGGAGACUUCAGCUCAUGAUCAGCCUCCCUUCUUCUUUCACUCAUAUACAUUGAGACUAAGAAGCAGAUAAAUGAAAGAAGAAAAUGGAUUGUACACAGCCUCACUCACACAUCAACUUUUCAGGCUCAAUUCCUCAGAAAACAGAAGAUAAGGAUUAAAGCAGUUUUGCCCUGUACUUGACUACUAAGAAAUAAUUGUUGGGCAAAGGCGUUCUAUAGAAUUUCCACUUAAAGUAUUUUUAUAUUUGCAUCUCUUUCUCUCUCUUGCAUAAUACUCCAAUUAAGCUUUAAUUUAUAUGUAAGUAUUAAUGCUAUAUUUGAAACAACUGCUGAUAGAUUGAAUUAUGCCUUUAAACCUAUUCUGUAACACAUUGUUGUUUUUUAAAAAACAGUUCAAAGACAGUCUUAUUUCUGGAGGUUUCCUCGCCUAAAGUCAACAACAACAACAACAAUAACAACAACAACAAUGCCAGGAGCAAUCAGUGCCCGAUUUCCCACUACUCCAGAAAUUGUUCAUUGAGUAGCCAGUAAUGUAUACAGAAAGCAUUUUGUAAAAAAAAAAAAUCCAACUGCUUUUGAAAGAAGUACGUAUUGUUAAAUAGAAACAGUUGGGUUGCUGUAUGUUGUUGACACACAUGUUUCAAGAGAGUCCAUUUUCCCGUUAACCAGCCUGUGAUUUUAAGCAAUUCCAUGGAGAUCCUUUUAUAUAGUCAAGAGAUGAUAAUUCUUCUUUGUGUAGGAGAUUAAAUUUACAGUUUUACAGUGUGGCUGUCAUCUUCAUUUCUGUAAGGUAUGUCAGAUUGGAAGACAGUAUCACUUACAUAUUUCACUAGGGCAACUAAAAAGGCAUUAAAUUUUUUGCAGGCUACAAGUUCCUUUUGUCAUGAAAAGAUGUCACAAAAAUAAAUAAAUAAAUAAAUAAAUAAAUAAAUAAAUAAAGCAGGCAGCAGAAGGAGGACGUGGAAGGUCUGAAAACCUUGAUAUUGAGAAAUCAUACCCCCAAAUGAUGAUAUGAAC